CCUAUAAGACUGGGAUAACUUCGGGAAACCGGAGCUAAUGCCGGAUAACAUUUGGAACCGCAUGGUUCUAAAGUAAAAGAUGGUUUUGCUAUCACUUAUAGAUGGACCCGCGCCGUAUUAGCUAGUUGGUAAGGUAACGGCUUACCAAGGCAACGAUACGUAGCCGACCUGAGAGGGUGAUCGGCCACACUGGAACUGAGACACGGUCCAGACUCCUACGGGAGGCAGCAGUAGGGAAUCUUCCGCAAUGGACGAAAGUCUGACGGAGCAACGCCGCGUGAGUGAUGAAGGUUUUCGGAUCGUAAAACUCUGUUAUUAGGGAAGAACAAAUGUGUAAGUAACUGUGCACACCUUGACGGUACCUAAUCAGAAAGCCACGGCUAACUACGUGCCAGCAGCCGCGGUAAUACGUAGGUGGCAAGCGUUAUCCGGAAUUAUUGGGCGUAAAGCGCGCGUAGGCGGUUUCUUAAGUCUGAUGUGAAAGCCCACGGCUCAACCGUGGAGGGUCAUUGGAAACUGGGAAACUUGAGUACAGAAGAGGAAAGUGGAAUUCCAUGUGUAGCGGUGAAAUGCGCAGAGAUAUGGAGGAACACCAGUGGCGAAGGCGACUUUCUGGUCUGUAACUGACGCUGAUGUGCGAAAGCGUGGGGAUCAAACAGGAUUAGAUACCCUGGUAGUCCACGCCGUAAACGAUGAGUGCUAAGUGUUAGGGGGUUUCCGCCCCUUAGUGCUGCAGCUAACGCAUUAAGCACUCCGCCUGGGGAGUACGACCGCAAGGUUGAAACUCAA
RNAcentral lists this ribosomal RNA (789 nucleotides) under uncultured Staphylococcus sp. RNAcentral describes it as "bacterial SSU rRNA". It matches the Rfam family "Bacterial small subunit ribosomal RNA", at positions 129 to 904 of the family's 1533-position model. The record is from RNAcentral. Lineage: Bacteria; Bacillati; Bacillota; Bacilli; Caryophanales; Staphylococcaceae.